UAAGAUGUUUGGUAAAAAAUGUCAAAGGUGCCAAAAAAACCAAGUGGAUCAAAUACUCGCGCCACAGAUGACAAAAUUGUCCAUUUUGUACAGGGACGGUCUAAAGAUUCAACUGUAUACGAAAACGAAUCACAACCUGGGUUCCAUUUUAGACCUAGAAUUUUUAUAAAAGAUAUUUCUUCGGCAUUGAAAAUAAGAGACUGCUGCUGUCCAUGUUCAGGAGGAAUAUUUUCAAGAAGUGAAGGAUGAUUGGCAGAACAUUUGCGAAGUUCAAAACCUCCACUUUGCAUGAGUGCAAUUAAUUCCGACUGAAGCUGCUUAGCUUCAUGCAAGUUUGGGAUACUAGAUACGAUAUCAUUUAUAUAAAGAUCAGAAGCUAAGGCUUCGGCUAAUUGCAUGACUGUUCUAAGAGCUAAAUAUGACGAAGAGGAAACUCCAAAAGUGACAACUUUAAGAGCAUAGGAUUUUAUUGGAUCGUUUGGGGUAAAACGCCAAAGAAUAGGUACGUUGGUAUUCUCGAUGCUCAGAUGCCACCAUAAUUUGACAGUACAUUUUCUUGACAUCUGCUGUGAACGUGUAAGGAUGCAAAUUCAGAAUAAUCGUAGAAAUAUCAUUUUGUAAUUUUGGGCCUGUUAAAAGAGUGUCAUUAAGGCUUAGCCCAGCCGCGUCCUUACAAGAUGCAUCGAACACCACUCGCACUUUGGUCGUAGUACUUUCUGGCUUGACUACACAAUGAUGUGAAGUCGACGUUCCAGUGAACAGAAUCGUCUUAAUGCAAUCGAAUAGAUAUUUGAAAAGGAAGGUUUGCCAUUUUUGAAAGGUAAAAAACUUUAAAUCUACCUGAAGUAUCUCUCGAAUGAGUAUUUUGGAAGAUCGAUUCACAUAAAGUGUCUUCGGAUGAGUUGAUCUCGACAGAAGACUCUGAAAUAAUGAAAGAAGAACUGACUGAAUUAGGAUUUGUAGAAGGUUGCAGAUCUCCUGAGAGAAUACAACUGAAGCAAGUGUUGAGACAUGAAGGCCAUACACUAUCACCCACGAUACGUCCAUCUCGCAAAAUCAAGGGAUAAAAUCCCCCCACCAAGUAGUAAAUCUAUUGGUGCCGGAAUGUUGAAAUCAGGAUCUGCUAAGUUCAAAUUUGCAAUAUUCUGAAAAGUGUUUUUGAGAAUAAAUUUAGUGGGCAUCUUAGAACAUACUUUUGUCAUAACAAGAGCCUCGAAAUAGAAAAUAGGAUGGUUUUGAUUUUGUGGUCGAUUUUUACAUGAAACUAUUUCUGAACUUGGGGUUUCGAUUUGUCCUUCUCCAAAAAUGGUCCUAGAACUUGGCAUUUUUGAAAGGAAUAAGCGGCUUACAUAUUUUUGUCUAAUAAUAUUUAACUGAGAGCCAUUAUCGAUAAAAACCCUGAUUGGUUUAUAACAACUCCAGGCAUAAAGAAUAUCCAAUAUUGCACUGGAGAGAAGAGUUGUCGAAAUUUUAUUGAAGGUCGGAAGUGCCACCAUAUUACAUGGAGGAGUUUCCGCAAAACUCUCACAGGAAACAUGAAGCUAUGUGUGAUUUUUACCUUGAUGACCACACACCCUGCAAGAAUCUUGUGAUUUACAAUCGUGAGCUUUGUGUCCAUUAUGGAGGCAUUUCGUGCACCAAUUGUUUUGAACUACCAUUUGAAGUCGCUCAAUAGGCGUUUUAGAUAAGAAUGACGGACACUUGUUAAUCGAAUGAGGUUCCUUGCAAAUUGGACAUAAAGAUUUUGAAUUUUUAGACGUCUUUACAAGAAAAGUAUGUUGAUUGGAAUCAUUUCGUUUGGGUUUAUAAUUUGAAUGUUUCGAGAAGUUUGAAUUUCUUGAAGAAUUUGAAUUUUUUGAAAGGUUUGAAUUUUUUGAAAAGUUAGUGUCUUUCGGCAACAUUAACGAAACUGAUUCGAGAGCUACACAUUGUUUCUGCAAAAAAAAAGUUUCAAGUAGUAGUAGUAGUAGUAGUAGUUUAUUUGACCAGAUUAUGUAGUUUAUACAUUUAUGGCAAGUCACAGUAAAUUCACAGUCAUAUUAGUCAAAUCAAAAUUAAAAAAUAUAUAAAAAUAUAAUUAAAAGAACAAUUAACGUCUAGUAACAGAUUAUCAAUAUAUAGUAUAAGAUUUAAAAUUUAGACAUGAGCAAUAUAUUUUAAAAUACAAUAAAAGAUCAUGGUUAA
This 2184-nucleotide long non-coding RNA is filed under the name Leptinotarsa decemlineata (Colorado potato beetle). RNAcentral's name for it is "uncharacterized LOC111508174, transcript variant X2". The record is from RNAcentral. Lineage: Eukaryota; Metazoa; Arthropoda; Insecta; Coleoptera; Chrysomelidae.